Long non-coding RNA from Zingiber officinale, 796 nucleotides. RefSeq lists it as uncharacterized. The transcript has 7 exons. The record is from RefSeq and is a predicted model, not a curated record. NCBI's taxonomy places the organism in Eukaryota, Viridiplantae, Streptophyta, Magnoliopsida, Zingiberales, Zingiberaceae.
CCGCGAGCAGCGACGUCACAACUCUCCAUUUGGCUGCAUAGAGUGGAAACGCAGGCUGCGUGCGCCUGCUGCUCGACCUGCACGCUGCUAUCUCAGCUGAGGCACUCUGUCUCUCCUCCCCUGCCGUAGCCUCGAUAGGAGCUGGAAGCACUCCUUUGAAUUAUUCAGCAUCCACCGGAAACCUCAAGAGUUGUCAGGUUCUCAAGCUUGAUGUUGUCAGGUUGGCAAGCUCUCAUUUCAUCACCGCCUCAAUAUCAAGCAUGACUCCAGGCUCAAGGGCCUCAGCAAGAUGUCGGAUUUGACGAUUAAUCUGGCGGCAAUAUGCACUCCUGCUGAUUAUCACACCCGCCCACUAGACACCAUCUUUAGUAAUUUCAUUGAUGCUCUCCCAGUUUUAGGUAUUGCUCAGAAAACAACAAGUGCAUCAUUCACUUCUCAACAUGUGAAGUGUAUGGGAAAACGAUAGGAAGCUUCCUACCCAAUGAUCAUCCUCUUAGAAAGAACAAGAAAGAAAGGAAGAAGGUCCGUGAGGUUGGCAUCUUGAAAAAGGAUCCUGAGGCUAUUUGAGAGCAAAUUGAGAAUAUGGAAAGAAUGAUUUACAAAUCUCAAGUACUCCAGAGUUGAAAUUGAUGAAGUGCGGUUCGAGUGGGCUGAAUGCAUGCUAGAUUACAUUUGAGUAGGAAAGGUAUUUGAUUUUUGAAAACUUUGGAUGAUGCAUACAUUUGCAUAGAAUGUAAAUUGCGUAUAUUGUCCCAUGUCAAUUUCUUUCUGAUGGUGAUAUUCUAGGACUUCUGCA